Molecule: long non-coding RNA, 1881 nt
Organism: Triticum urartu
Lineage: Eukaryota; Viridiplantae; Streptophyta; Magnoliopsida; Poales; Poaceae
Source: RefSeq, a predicted model, not a curated record
UUUUUUUUCUCUGACGCUGACGCUGGGACCCGCCAGGUCAUCUCCUUCCUCCACUCGAACUCCCCUUCCUGUACGAACCAAUCUGCCCUUCCUGUACGAGAGCGCCGCUGCUGCCGAACCAACCUGCCCUCGAUUCGGCCAGAUCCCUAACCCCCGAUCCGAUUCAUGGACACCAGACGGUCCCUCUUGCUCCUCUAGUCCGAUUCCCGCAAACCGCUGCUUAAUUUCCCCCUCGGAACGGCGCCCAGAUCUCGCCGGAGUCCGCCGCCGCCGGAAGCUCUUCCGCCGGCCGAAAUCGUCGCCACCGCGGGUCCCCCAGCACCUCGUGUUCCCCCUGUAGUGUUCCCCUUGUUUCCCUCUAGCUCCCUCAUCUUCUAGUUCUCGCAGGGAAGCGCCGUACCGAGCACAUCGAGCUCGCCCCGACGAAGACCCCACUGCCCGAGCUCCAGCCACCGCUGCCCGAGGGAGCUACCUUCACCACCGACGACCCCAUCAUCCUCACUGUUGAACUCCGUGUCCGCCAGUCAACUCUACUUCGCCGGAGUACGACCGGAGGAGUGCCGCCGCGGCGCCGCCCACGCCCGAACUUGCCGCCAUCGUUUUCUUCAAGCUCACGUACAUGCAAUUGCUGUUUGACCGGGAGGCGAGCGAAAACUACAGAAAGAGGCGAACAAAAAUAGCCCCGGGAAUGAAGAUGAACACGGGAUUGGAAUUGCACGCUAGAAAUGUUGGAGAAGUAAUCCAUUCGGCUGGCUAAAAUGAAUGAGCGGUCAAUGUGGGGUACUUUGCCGCCGCGUGUAAACGUAGGCCUGUGCGUCCUGUGGCACAUUUUUUUAGGGGUUCGUCCUGUGGCACAUGCAGUAGCGGAGCUACACAAUUUUUGUUGGACGGGCCAAGCUGAAGGGACGCAUUGUUUUUCUCCCACAUGAUCUAACUUUUGCCUUCAUUAUUCACUGUUUUGGUCGUGGAUUGGGCGGGCCACGGUCAUGUUUUGUUUCAACUAAGCUCCGCCACUGGGCACAUGUGUGUGCAGAACCCCAACGCCGUUUUCCACGAAACGUCGUUAGUUAGCACGUGGGCCCAGCUGUGCCGUACACGAUCGAAACAAUAUGAUUUACACACAACCUAUACACCAGAAAAUACGGGAGGUGGCCCAUAUCGCGAAGCAGACGAGUGCCCACCGAUUCCGUGAGCAGGCGAGCUCGUCCGCUCUUAUGUAUUUCCGGCUAUGUGCUAUUCAGUUUGUAAUACUUUAUAAAUUCUGGAUCAAACGUUAUAGUAAAUGAUACACUUGUUACUUUGGUAUUUAUAUGUACUGUGUGUGUUAGCAAGUCGAUUAAGGGACUAGCACAGUAAGUACAGAGACAUCAAAUUUUAUCAGGUUCGGGUCAUUACACCUUUUUUGGCAACUUAGCAUUUUUGUCUGGCAACCAAGCAUGUUUAAACCUGCUAACUAAACACCCUAAGUAUGUGACAACUAAGCAUACUAAACUUUUCUGGAAACUAAGCAUUUUUAUAGUCUGGCAACUAAGCAUGUUUAAAUUCGGUAACUAAAUUCCCUAAGUAUUUGGUAACUAAAUAAUGUCUGGCAACUAAGUAUGUUUAAAUCCGGUAACUAAAUACCCUAAGUAUUCGGUAACUAAAAAAUGUAUGGCAACUAAGUAUGUUUAAAUCCAGUAAGUAAAUACCCGAAGUAUCUGGUAACUAAAAGAUAUCUAGCAGCUAAAAGCAUUUUUGUAAUUUUGAAAUAAGUAGUACAUUUCACUUGGUAACUAUGUAUUUUUAAAAUUGACAACAGAGUUUUUUGUAAUCUGGCAACUAAGCAUGUUAAUUUUUUUGGCAACUAAAUACUUUUUAUAUGUGGCAAAUAAGUACUUUCAA